RNAcentral lists this ribosomal RNA (494 nucleotides) under uncultured bacterium. RNAcentral's name for it is "partial 16S ribosomal RNA". It matches the Rfam family "Bacterial small subunit ribosomal RNA", at positions 28 to 507 of the family's 1533-position model. The record is from RNAcentral.
GACGAACGCUGGCGGCGUGCUUAACACAUGCAAGUCGAACGGUGAAGCGCCUUCCUUUUUGGUGGGUGUGGAUGAGUGGCGAACGGGUGAGUAACACGUGAGUAACCUGCCCCCUUCUUCUGGAUAACCGCAUGAAAGUGUGGCUAAUACGGGAUAUUCUGGGUCUGUCGCAUGAUGGGUCUGGGAAAGAUAUUGUUUCGGUGGGGGAUGGGCUCGCGGCCUAUCAGCUUGUUGGUGGGGUGAUGGCCUACCAAGGCGGUGACGGGUAGCCGGCCUGAGAGGGUGGACGGUCACACAGGGACGGAGACACGGCCAAGACUCCGACGGGAGGCAGCAGUGAGGAAUAUUGAACAAUGGGCGCAAGCCUGAUGCAGCGACGCCGCGUGAGAGAUGGAGGCCUUCGGGUUGUGAACCUCUUUCGCCAGUGAAGCAGGCCUGCCUCGUUUGUGGGUGGGUUGACGGUAGCUGGAUAAGAAGCGCCGGCUAACUACGUG